This 83-nucleotide microRNA precursor is filed under the name Helianthus annuus (common sunflower). RNAcentral describes it as "microRNA MIR398". It matches the Rfam family "MIR398 microRNA precursor family". The record is from RNAcentral. Lineage: Eukaryota; Viridiplantae; Streptophyta; Magnoliopsida; Asterales; Asteraceae.
AGACAUCCAACAGGUGUGACAUGAGAACACAUGAUAUACUUAGAUAUUUUCACGUGUUCUCAGGUCGCCCCUGCUGAAUUUUC